RNAcentral lists this transfer RNA (75 nucleotides) under Chloroparvula sp. RCC4572. RNAcentral's name for it is "tRNA-Ile". It matches the Rfam family "tRNA". Rfam says of the family: Transfer RNA (tRNA) molecules are approximately 80 nucleotides in length. Their secondary structure includes four short double-helical elements and three loops (D, anti-codon, and T loops). Lineage: Eukaryota; Viridiplantae; Chlorophyta; Chloropicophyceae; Chloropicales; Chloropicaceae. The record is from RNAcentral. RNAcentral also lists the same sequence under 1 other name.
GGGCUAUUAGCUCAGCUUGGUUAGAGCACACCCCUGAUAAGGGUGAGGCCACUGGUUCGAGUCCAGUAUAGCCCA